Long non-coding RNA from Megalobrama amblycephala (Wuchang bream), 1504 nucleotides. RefSeq lists it as uncharacterized. The record is from RefSeq and is a predicted model, not a curated record. NCBI's taxonomy places the organism in Eukaryota, Metazoa, Chordata, Actinopteri, Cypriniformes, Xenocyprididae. The transcript has 4 exons.
ACCCCGACUCUGGGGCUAUUCAGAGUCGAGGAAUCGACUCUUUUGGAGUCGACUCCCCAUCACUAAUUCACAGUGUCUAGUAUGUGCAACAGCAAAAAGCUUGUUUACAUUUUAGACAAGUCAAGUUGCGUUACUGAAUAGAACCUAAAAACCUAAACCAACUGCCUUGACCUGCAUAUAUACAAAGUGCACAGCAACAUACACGGGACAAAUCCACACAUUAUACAAUGAAUGUGGGAUCAGUGCGUCGAGAGCGCUCAUCAUACAUGAUUUGUUUGCAAGGUAGCCUAAUGUACGACUCCUGUACGUCACUGCACUCGUCUUUACCUUGAGUGAAAUCCUCAUCCAUCAAAACUUUCAUAGCAAGAAGCUGGUUUGCUUUAUCCAGCCGAGAAACAUAGUUUUCAUAUCAUCUGACCAUACAGCAGUGGGAUGUUUCGACGUUCCGUUCAGACAGGAACAGCGCGAUGCGGGAGGGCUCGCGCUCUUCAGAUACAAUGACGGAAUAUGACAGAGAGUUCGUGUUUUAAAGCGAAACAGACACUGGAAUUAAUAAUUCUCUCUGCCAUCGCUGAUAUAAUCAGCAUAGACUUGAAGAUCAUCUAUCUGUGGGACAAGAAAGAAAGUCAUCCUGGCUUUGCACAACACAAGGAGGCAGAUGUUUUAAGAUGUCUGUGACAAAGGCAGUUACAUUUGAACUUCAAACACUGGAUUGAGCCACAGUGCAUGAGCACAAUUGGAUACAGAAGUGUCACCUGAUAAACUGCAUCCACCGGGGGACAGAAUUAGAAGUCAGGGAUCGACUUUCAUGAAAUGCGCCUGGCCGACCAUAAUUCCCCCAAAAGCGGGAACGGUGCUUUGCCGUGAUGUGAGAAGGUUAACGUUAAACAAUAAAAGGGGCCGAGGAGAAUGGGAAUGAAGCUAAUGAGAGGUGAUAAGAUUCAUUCCAGACCUCAAUUUCAAGGAUGGAGGAGCAAGUGGUCUGGGAGAGUACUGUGAGACUCCCGCGAGGACUUGAGGCCCUAAUGAAAGAUAUUAGCCUUUGAGGAAAAGAGUGAUAUCCCUGGAUCUCACAAAGGUGAGAAGCAAUCUUCAAAUUUUCUGACAAUGAAAGGAGUAGUUUACCCCAUCUCCCCCCCCCAUACUGUAUUCAAAUAACCUACUCAAAGAGUAUGUGAUUUCAGACGCAGCCCAUGUCUAUCCAGCUCCAAAAAGGACAAAAAUAAAGGUCUAUGACUCUUCAACUUGUCUGACACAUUGCUUUCAAAUAAAAUAUGGUGCAGUUGGAUGUCAGUGACACUGAAUGUCAUUUGUUCUUGUGUGUCCUGUAAAAAAAUAUUGUAAUUUUAACAGUAAAAAACUGUAUAAAUUGUUAGUCAGUUAAUGAUAAGCUCAUAUAUACGAUAUCAUGUAAUUUUAAAGUAAACACUGUUUCAUUUACAGCUGUUGAAAGUGAAAAAGAACAAGUCAUGAUUUACAGUGAUAACACUGAGAAUAAAACUAA